CUGCAUAUAACCCGUUUUAUAAACAAAUCAUCGUAAGGACAUCAUCAUGAAUAUCAAAUAAAAGAGAAUAUACAUAGAACCACACUAAAUAAGCUAGCUAUUAGCAUUCUUUCAUUUAGCAGCAUCAUGAUGAUGAUUGUGAUGAUGGCUAGUUAUGAUGAGUGGCAAGGAGGGAGAGUUUGGCACUCGGACUCUGAAACGCGAGAGGCAUGGAACUUGGCGAUAAAGGCAGAAGCCUUACGGUCAAUCCCUGGCUCAGCCACCCAAUAUCGCUUGUCCUCGUCGCUGGCCCAUGCCUUUCUUGUGUAUACGCCGUCGUCCCAUGCGUCUGCUUCAAUCAUAUGAGACGACCUUCGUGACUUAAAGAAGCUGAAGAGAGAGAACUUCUUUCUGCUGUUGCCUCCCAUUAGUUAGAAAAAGAACACACUAAGAUUCAAGAAAAAAAACUGUAAAUUUGUUUAAGGUUGAUGUGUU
RNAcentral lists this long non-coding RNA (474 nucleotides) under Brassica napus (rape). RNAcentral's name for it is "long non-coding RNA (BNAP_LNC012380)". Lineage: Eukaryota; Viridiplantae; Streptophyta; Magnoliopsida; Brassicales; Brassicaceae. The record is from RNAcentral.